UGCAAGUCGAACGAUGAACCACUUCGGUGGGGAUUAGUGGCGAACGGGUGAGUAACACGUGGGCAAUCUGCCCUUCACUCUGGGACAAGCCCUGGAAACGGGGUCUAAUACCGGAUAACACUCUCGCAGGCAUCUGCGAGGGUUAAAAGCUCCGGCGGUGAAGGAUGAGCCCGCGGCCUAUCAGCUUGUUGGUGAGGUAAUGGCUCACCAAGGCGACGACGGGUAGCCGGCCUGAGAGGGCGACCGGCCACACUGGGACUGAGACACGGCCCAGACUCCUACGGGAGGCAGCAGUGGGGAAUAUUGCACAAUGGGCGAAAGCCUGAUGCAGCGACGCCGCGUGAGGGAUGACGGCCUUCGGGUUGUAAACCUCUUUCAGCAGGGAAGAAGCGAAAGUGACGGUACCUGCAGAAGAAGCGCCGGCUAACUACGUGCCAGCAGCCGCGGUAAUACGUAGGGCGCAAGCGUUGUCCGGAAUUAUUGGGCGUAAAGAGCUCGUAGGCGGCUUGUCACGUCGAUUGUGAAAGCCCGAGGCUUAACCUCGGGUCUGCAGUCGAUACGGGCUAGCUAGAGUGUGGUAGGGGAGAUCGGAAUUCCUGGUGUAGCGGUGAAAUGCGCAGAUAUCAGGAGGAACACCGGUGGCGAAGGCGGAUCUCUGGG
Molecule: ribosomal RNA, 660 nt
Filed under: Streptomyces sp. JSM 082054
Lineage: Bacteria; Bacillati; Actinomycetota; Actinomycetes; Kitasatosporales; Streptomycetaceae
Description: bacterial SSU rRNA
Rfam family: Bacterial small subunit ribosomal RNA
Source: RNAcentral